Exaiptasia diaphana is the source of this 1015-nucleotide long non-coding RNA. RefSeq lists it as uncharacterized. Lineage: Eukaryota; Metazoa; Cnidaria; Anthozoa; Actiniaria; Aiptasiidae. The transcript is spliced from 2 exons. The record is from RefSeq and is a predicted model, not a curated record.
UUUCGUGAAGAAGUCCUCGUGUGGAGAAUGGCUUCAAAGUGUUUGAUCUACAAAAUAUGCAUGUUUUUGGACAAAGUGAACUUCGAACUUAAGAAAUAAUGYAGAGGAAGUCUCUGAGUAUUGUAUUUUGGAAAGAAAUAUAUGGAAUUUAUACUCUACUGUUAAAUUUUAUGGGAAAGAAGACAGUUAGUCCGAAACAAAAUGGCGGAAAUUUUCAUUGCUCGGAAACAUAAAUGUGGUGAUAUUUUGAGAUCUACGCAAGAAAUCGUCACCAAAGGAGGAAGAUUUGUAAAGAGAAGUCGGAGGUUUUUGGAAUUGUAUACAUCAAGCUUGUCGGAUCAGUGGAACUUCAUAUCUUUUGCUUUGAACACCGAGUGUGAUGAACAUAUGGAACCUGGAACGACCUGUGUUGAACUUGUGAUUUGAGUGUUUAAGCAUAGUUGACUCAGAGAAGGUCAUAAGCUUAAUUCCAUUGCAGUUUGGCCACAGGUAGCCCAAACUUAUUAUCAGAGGACGAUGACGUAAUGUGUUGAACCGUUGAUAAUUUUUGAAUUUUUAAUUAGUUUCAAGGUAGGUUCGUAAUGAAGCCUUCCAAAACCACUGAAAACUGUAAAUAAUUAUCAGAAAUCUCUCAAAAAGUUAGAAUGAUCAUUAAAUAACACGUUGAGYUGACGGAGCGACACUCAGAAUGGUCGGUUGGGAUGAUGGUUUAUCUGAAAAUCUAGUUUGUUCUGCCUAAGUCACCUUUCACCAUCAACUAAUGGCUUAAACAGUAAAGUACAUGUAACUUGAUCAUGGUCUUGCUGUCCAAUUUGAGAAUACUAUUAAAAAGAUUAAUAUGAACAUUUAGAAGAUUGCCAGUCAGUGAAAUUUUUCUUUAUAGCCCUGUUCGUUGAAAUAAUUUAUGUGUUUCUGAAAAUGUGAGACAUGACAAUUCAUAGCAAAGUGGUAAAACAGUUGAGUUAAAGAAAUGUAAUUAAAAUAUUAUAAGUUGACUGGAAAACAGCUAAUUGAA